This is a long non-coding RNA of Tupaia belangeri chinensis (Chinese tree shrew), 871 nucleotides long. RefSeq lists it as uncharacterized. NCBI's taxonomy places the organism in Eukaryota, Metazoa, Chordata, Mammalia, Scandentia, Tupaiidae. The transcript is spliced from 3 exons. The record is from RefSeq and is a predicted model, not a curated record.
UCUGCUUUAGAGUCACUCAGGGGGAACCACCCCUCAUGGGGUGCACGUCACCCUAGAGUUUGCAAAGCUCUUUCUCAUGCAUUCUACAGUUUGGCUCAACAACCAAUGGGGUAGGGAUUAUUUUCUCCAUUUUACAGGCCUCCAGCAGCUUGCAGAAGAAUGCACGUUCCAGGUUCAGUAUCCAAACCUGGAGGGUUGAGAUCUGCGUUUCCACGGCAACCGUAUCCUUAACAGCAUCCAAUAAGGACAUUAUUUGGCCGCAAGGUAGAGUGGAGAUCAUCAACUCCACUUUAAGAAUGUGGCUGUAUCCAGUGACCUUCUCCAAACCAUGGCAGUCUCUGUGCUGCCCACCAACCUGGAAGUAGAACCGUGGAAAUAGGGAUUGCCUUUCAAAGAUGAGUCAACUUCUCCCAUCACAGCUGAGGGUGGGAAAGUAACGAUCGUGCUCAUGCACACUCACACACACCAGAAAGCCUGCAAGCUUACCAGGGAACUGGGCCUGAGUACAAGAUUCCUACUUUCUCGUAACCUCUGCUAUAAUACCAUGGGAAUGGAUAAACCCAUGACUUUCAAAUGAUGCUCUAUGAACCUUGGGUUCUCUGGGACUGCCUCAGAGAUGUUGUGUGAUGAUGGGACACCUAGGGAAUCCCCAGCACCUCCUCCAACUCUAAGACAGUAGCUGUGCAGCUUCUAUCAGACCUCAUUUGAACUGUAAGGACCCUCCUGGCUCAAUGUCUGGUCUCACGAUUUCAUGUCAGAGAUGCUGAUGGACCUUCAUCACUUAACCUUCACCAUCCCCGGCCUCAUUCUGGGUAUCACUGUUGAGAAAUACGCGAUAUGGACUCUGCCCUCAGUCUCCUAAUGAAGAUAA